This 119-nucleotide ribosomal RNA is filed under the name Helianthus annuus (common sunflower). The record is from RNAcentral. Lineage: Eukaryota; Viridiplantae; Streptophyta; Magnoliopsida; Asterales; Asteraceae.
GGUUGCGAUCAUACCAGCACUAAUGCACCGGAUCCCAUCAGAACUCCGCAGUUAAGCAUGAUUAGGCGAGAGUAGUACUAGGAUGGGUGACCCCCUGGGAAGUCCUCGUUUUGCAACCC